UAGUCCACGCCGUAAACGAUGUCAACUAGGUGUAGGGGGUGUUGAUCCCUUCUGUGCCGCAGCUAACGCAUUAAGUUGACCGCCUGGGGAGUACGGUCGCAAGAUUAAAACUCAAAGAAAUUGACGGGGGCCCGCACAAGCGGUGGAGUAUGUGGUUUAAUUCGAGGCAACGCGAAGAACCUUACCAGGGCUUGACAUCGCCUGACAACCCAAGAGAUUGGGCGUCCCUUCGGGGCAGGUAGACAGGUGGUGCAUGGUUGUCGUCAGCUCGUGUCGUGAGAUGUUGGGUUAAGUCCCGCAACGAGCGCAACCCUUGCCGUCAGUUGCCAUCAUUAAGUUGGGAACUCUGGCGGGACUGCCGGUGAUAAAUCGGAGGAAGGUGGGGAUGACGUCAAAUCAUCAUGCCCCUUAUGUCCUGGGGCUACACACGUACUACAAUGGCCGCUACAGCAGGGAAGCGAAAUCG
This 466-nucleotide ribosomal RNA is filed under the name uncultured bacterium. RNAcentral's name for it is "bacterial SSU rRNA". It matches the Rfam family "Bacterial small subunit ribosomal RNA", at positions 791 to 1257 of the family's 1533-position model. The record is from RNAcentral.